RNAcentral lists this ribosomal RNA (492 nucleotides) under uncultured bacterium. Its description in RNAcentral is "partial 16S ribosomal RNA". It matches the Rfam family "Bacterial small subunit ribosomal RNA", at positions 29 to 507 of the family's 1533-position model. The record is from RNAcentral.
AGUGAACGCUGGCGGUAGGCCUAACACAUGCAAGUCGAACGGCCGCACAUUAAGAGCUUUCUUUUACCGUUGGCUAGUGGCUGACGGGUGAGGAAUACAUCGUAGUCUACUUUUUCGUUGGGGAUAACUUAGUGAAACUUACGCUAAUACCUCAUACGACCUACUGGUUAAUGCAUGGUAUCUUCUUACCUUGCGCGAUUGAAUGACCCGAUGUCGGAUUGGCUAGUUGGGGGGGUAAAGGCCCACCAAGGCAACGAUCCGUAGCUGGUCUGUGAGGGUGAUGAGCAACACUGGAACUGAGACACGGUCAAGACUCCUACGGGAGGCAGAAGUGGGGAAUAUUGGACAAUGGGGGAAAGCCGGAUCAAGAAAGACCGCGUGGGUGAAGAAGGCCUUCGGGUUGUAAAGCCCUUUUGUUGGGAAAGAAAAGCAGCAGGUUAAUACCCCGAUGUUCUGACGGUACCCAAAGAAUAAGCAACGGCUAACUUCGUG